CGAGAGGCUUCGGCAAUGGGGGAAACCCUGACCGAGCGACGCCGCGUGGGCGAUGAAGGCCUUACGGUUGUAAAGCCCUGUCAUGAGGGAAGAAAUGCACGUUGUCAAACAGGCUACGUGUUUGACGGUACCU
This 133-nucleotide ribosomal RNA is filed under the name uncultured bacterium. RNAcentral describes it as "partial 16S ribosomal RNA". It matches the Rfam family "Bacterial small subunit ribosomal RNA", at positions 356 to 480 of the family's 1533-position model. The record is from RNAcentral.